This is a non-coding RNA of Gossypium raimondii (Peruvian cotton), 107 nucleotides long. Lineage: Eukaryota; Viridiplantae; Streptophyta; Magnoliopsida; Malvales; Malvaceae. The record is from Rfam.
AUUCUGUGAUGAGGGCACUUCCGUAAUAAUUCUUUGUACCUUUCCCAUGCCUCAUACAAUGACUCAUCAUCCAUUUGUUGGAAAGCAAUAAUCCCGUUCCUCAACUU